UACGGGGGGAGCAAGCGUUGUUCGGAUUUACUGGGCGUAAAGGGCGCGUAGGCGGUCAGCACAAGUCAGUUGUGAAAUCUCCGGGCUUAACUCGGAAAGGUCAACUGAUACUGUGCGACUAGAGUGCAGAAGGGGCAACUGGAAUUCACGGUGUAGCAGUGAAAUGCGUAGAUAUCGUGAGGAAUACCAGAGGCGAAGGCGGCUACCUGGACAAUUGCUGACGCUCAGGCACGAAAGCGUGGGGAGCAAAAGGG
RNAcentral lists this ribosomal RNA (254 nucleotides) under uncultured bacterium. Its description in RNAcentral is "partial 16S ribosomal RNA". It matches the Rfam family "Bacterial small subunit ribosomal RNA", at positions 524 to 776 of the family's 1533-position model. The record is from RNAcentral.